RNAcentral lists this ribosomal RNA (495 nucleotides) under uncultured bacterium. RNAcentral describes it as "bacterial SSU rRNA". It matches the Rfam family "Bacterial small subunit ribosomal RNA", at positions 28 to 477 of the family's 1533-position model. The record is from RNAcentral.
GAUGAACGCUGGCGGCGUGCCUAAUACAUGCAAGUCGAACGCAUUGUGGUUGAAAUGAUAUGAAGAACUUGUUCAGAUUUGAUUUUCAACAUUGCAAUGAGUGGCGAACGGGUGAGUAACACGUGGGAAACCUACCUCUUAGCAGGGGAUAACAUUUGGAAACAAAUGCUAAUACCGUAUAAUAAUUAAAACCGCAUGGUUUUAGUUUAAAAGAUGGUCUUGCUAUCACUAAGAGAUGGUCCCGCGGUGUAUUAGUUAGUUGGUGAGGUAAUGGCUCACCAAGACAAUGAUACAUAGCCGAGUUGAGAGACUGACCGGCCACAAUGGGAGUGAGACACGGCCCAUACUCCUACGGGAGGCAGCAGUAGGGAAUCUUCCACAAUGGACGAAAGUACUGAUGGAGCAACGCCGCGUGUGUGAUGAAGGUUUCGGCUCGUAAAACACUGUUGUAAGAGAAGAAUGACAUUGAGAGUAACUGUUCAAUGUGUGACGGUA